UGUGACUGGCAUUGAGUGUUCUUAGCUGA
Molecule: non-coding RNA, 29 nt
Filed under: Rattus norvegicus (Norway rat)
Lineage: Eukaryota; Metazoa; Chordata; Mammalia; Rodentia; Muridae
Source: RNAcentral